GCCUUGAGGUGGAGUACUGCGAGGCUGGGGUGACAGACACGUUCUACAUCUUGUGGUAGAAGGGUGUACCAGGCCUCCGUGGCCACUUGCUGGAGGUCCUGCUGUCCUACCUCACCCCAUCCCAGGAAAGGAGCUGCGAAGGCAAAAGCAAAAUAAGAGGAAUAUUUGACUUCACUCCACAAGAGACCUAUUUAAUAGUUUGGCGG
Mauremys reevesii (Reeves's turtle) is the source of this 206-nucleotide long non-coding RNA. RefSeq lists it as uncharacterized. NCBI's taxonomy places the organism in Eukaryota, Metazoa, Chordata, Testudines, Geoemydidae. The record is from RefSeq and is a predicted model, not a curated record. The transcript has 3 exons.